AGAGUUUGAUCAUGGCUCAGAUUGAACGCUGGCGGCAGGCCUAACACAUGCAAGUCGAGCGGUAGCACAGAGAGCUUGCUCUCGGGUGACGAGCGGCGGACGGGUGAGUAAUGUCUGGGAAACUGCCUGAUGGAGGGGGAUAACUACUGGAAACGGUAGCUAAUACCGCAUAACGUCGCAAGACCAAAGUGGGGGACCUUCGGGCCUCAUGCCAUCAGAUGUGCCCAGAUGGGAUUAGCUAGUAGGUGGGGUAACGGCUCACCUAGGCGACGAUCCCUAGCUGGUCUGAGAGGAUGACCAGCCACACUGGAACUGAGACACGGUCCAGACUCCUACGGGAGGCAGCAGUGGGGAAUAUUGCACAAUGGGCGCAAGCCUGAUGCAGCCAUGCCGCGUGUGUGAAGAAGGCCUUCGGGUUGUAAAGCACUUUCAGCGGGGAGGAAGGCGGUAAGGUUAAUAACCUCAUCGAUUGACGUUACCCGCAGAAGAAGCACCGGCUAACUCCGUGCCAGCAGCCGCGGUAAUACGGAGGGUGCAAGCGUUAAUCGGAAUUACUGGGCGUAAAGCGCACGCAGGCGGUCUGUCAAGUCGGAUGUGAAAUCCCCGGGCUCAACCUGGGAACUGCAUUCGAAACUGGCAGGCUAGAGUCUUGUAGAGGGGGGUAGAAUUCCAGGUGUAGCGGUGAAAUGCGUAGAGAUCUGGAGGAAUACCGGUGGCGAAGGCGGCCCCCUGGACAAAGACUGACGCUCAGGUGCGAAAGCGUGGGGAGCAAACAGGAUUAGAUACCCUGGUAGUCCACGCCGUAAACGAUGUCGAUUUGGAGGUUGUGCCCUUGAGGCGUGGCUUCCGGAGCUAACGCGUUAAAUCGACCGCCUGGGGAGUACGGCCGCAAGGUUAAAACUCAAAUGAAUUGACGGGGGCCCGCACAAGCGGUGGAGCAUGUGGUUUAAUUCGAUGCAACGCGAAGAACCUUACCUGGUCUUGACAUCCACAGAACUUUCCAGAGAUGGAUUGGUGCCUUCGGGAACUGUGAGACAGGUGCUGCAUGGCUGUCGUCAGCUCGUGUUGUGAAAUGUUGGGUUAAGUCCCGCAACGAGCGCAACCCUUAUCCUUUGUUGCCAGCGGUCCGGCCGGGAACUCAAAGGAGACUGCCAGUGAUAAACUGGAGGAAGGUGGGGAUGACGUCAAGUCAUCAUGGCCCUUACGACCAGGGCUACACACGUGCUACAAUGGCAUAUACAAAGAGAAGCGACCUCGCGAGAGCAAGCGGACCUCAUAAAGUAUGUCGUAGUCCGGAUUGGAGUCUGCAACUCGACUCCAUGAAGUCGGAAUCGCUAGUAAUCGUAGAUCAGAAUGCUACGGUGAAUACGUUCCCGGGCCUUGUACACACCGCCCGUCACACCAUGGGAGUGGGUUGCAAAAGAAGUAGGUAGCUUAACCUUCGGGAGGGCGCUUACCACUUUGUGAUUCAUGACUGGGGUGAAGUCGUAACAAGGUAACCGUAGGGGAACCUGCGGUUG
This 1520-nucleotide ribosomal RNA is filed under the name Klebsiella pneumoniae. RNAcentral describes it as "bacterial SSU rRNA". It matches the Rfam family "Bacterial small subunit ribosomal RNA". Lineage: Bacteria; Pseudomonadati; Pseudomonadota; Gammaproteobacteria; Enterobacterales; Enterobacteriaceae. RNAcentral also lists the same sequence under 1 other name. The record is from RNAcentral.